This 72-nucleotide transfer RNA is filed under the name Solirubrobacter phytolaccae. RNAcentral describes it as "tRNA-Arg". It matches the Rfam family "tRNA". Rfam says of the family: Transfer RNA (tRNA) molecules are approximately 80 nucleotides in length. Their secondary structure includes four short double-helical elements and three loops (D, anti-codon, and T loops). The record is from RNAcentral. Lineage: Bacteria; Bacillati; Actinomycetota; Thermoleophilia; Solirubrobacterales; Solirubrobacteraceae.
CAGCGCGUAGCUCAGCAGUAGAGCACCGGGCUUCGGACCCGGAGGGCGCAGGGGCAGGACCUGCCGCGCUGG